ACGACUCCUGUCUCUACGCCUGCAACUUCCCCUGUAUCCCCUCCCACUACAAUUCCAG
Molecule: small RNA, 58 nt
Filed under: Arabidopsis thaliana (thale cress)
Lineage: Eukaryota; Viridiplantae; Streptophyta; Magnoliopsida; Brassicales; Brassicaceae
Description: ATSL299370
Source: RNAcentral